CCUCAGUACGGCGAGUGAAGCGGCAAAAGCUCAAAUUUGAAAUCCUCCGGGAAUUGUAAUUUGAAGGUGGGGUUGAAUAGGUCUAGAUACUUUAAGUCCAUUGGAAAAUGGCGCCAUGGAGGGUGAUAGCCCCGUAAAAGUAUUAACGCCUUCUUUUCUUCCCCUCCUAAGAGUCGAGUUGUUUGGGAAUGCAGCUCUAAGUGGGUGGUAAAUUCCAUCUAAAGCUAAAUAUUGGCGAGAGACCGAUAGCGAACAAGUACAGUGAUGGAAAGAUGAAAAGCACUUUGAAAAGAGAGUGAAAAAGUACGUGAAAUUGUUGAAAGGGAAGGGCUUGCAAGCAAACACAACCUCGGUUGGGCCAACAUCGGAGUGGGGGGAGACAAAAAAGGUUAGGAAUGUAGCUCCCUUUAGAGUAUUAUAUCCUGGCCCUAUAUCUCCCCCCCCUUCCGAGGCCUGCGAUUCUUCAAGGAUGCUGGCGUAAUGGUUGCAAGUCCCCCGUCUUGAAACACGGACCAAGGAGUCUAACCUCUAUGCGAGUGUUUGAGUACCAAACCCAAACGCGCAAUGAAAGUAAUAGGAGCGAACC
RNAcentral lists this ribosomal RNA (586 nucleotides) under Metschnikowia koreensis. RNAcentral describes it as "partial large subunit ribosomal RNA". It matches the Rfam family "Eukaryotic large subunit ribosomal RNA", at positions 78 to 743 of the family's 3401-position model. The record is from RNAcentral. Lineage: Eukaryota; Fungi; Ascomycota; Pichiomycetes; Serinales; Metschnikowiaceae.